RNAcentral lists this unclassified non-coding RNA (283 nucleotides) under uncultured fungus. RNAcentral describes it as "partial contains 5.8S ribosomal RNA, internal transcribed spacer 2, and large subunit ribosomal RNA". The stretch from base 1 to 52 matches the Rfam family "5.8S ribosomal RNA", at positions 103 to 154 of the family's 154-position model. Lineage: Eukaryota; Fungi. The record is from RNAcentral.
AACGCACCUUGCGCUCCUUGGUAUUCCGAGGAGCAUGCCUGUUUGAGUGUCAUUAAUAUCUCAACUCCUACCGUUUUGCGACGGUAGGGCGUUGGACUUGGAGUGUGCUGGCGCAAGUCAGCUCCUCUUCAAAUACAUCAGCGGAGUGCUUCUCUCGCGGUUGGUGUGAUAAUUAUCUACGCCUACAUGCCGUGUUUGUCGAGCGUCUGCUUACAACCGUCCCGCAAGGGACAACUUUUACCAGUGUGACCUCAAAUCAGGUAGGACUACCCGCUGAACUUAA